UUGAUAAGUCUGAAGUUAAAGGCUGUGGCUCAACCAUAGUUCGCUUUGGAAACUGUCAAACUUGAGUGCAGAAGGGGGAGAGUGGAAUUCCAUGUGUAGCGGUGAAAUGCGUAGAUAUAUGGAGGAACACCGGUAGGCGAAAGCGGCUCUCUGGUCUGUAACUGACGCUGAGGCUCGAAAGCGUGGGGAGCGAACAGGAUUAGAUACCCUGGUAGUCCACGCCGUAAACGAUGAGUGCUAGGUGUUGGAUCCUUUCCGGGAUUCAGUGCCGCAGCUAACGCAUUAAGCACUCCGCCUGGGGAGUACGACCGGCAAAGGUUGAAAACUCAAAGGAAUUGACGGGGGGCCCCGACGACAAAGCGGUGGAGCAUGUGGUUUAAUUCGAAGCAACGCGAAGAACCUUACCAAGACUUGACAUUGAUUGAAAGACCUAGAGAUAGGUUCCUGAACUUCGGUUCAACAGAAAACAGGUGGUAGCACUGGCUGUCGUCAGCUCGUGU
This 500-nucleotide ribosomal RNA is filed under the name uncultured bacterium. Its description in RNAcentral is "bacterial SSU rRNA". It matches the Rfam family "Bacterial small subunit ribosomal RNA", at positions 580 to 1065 of the family's 1533-position model. The record is from RNAcentral.